CGGGGACUCGGUGCGGAGCCGGGGCGCCGAGUGUCUCCGUGUCCCUCUGCCCCAGCCGGCGGCCGCGAUGGUGGAGCUUGGCCUCUCGCUCUCUCCCGCCUCUCCAGCGACUGCUCUGCCGGCCGCGGAGGUCGGAUCGAGCGGUCAUUCAUUCAUUUGUUAAUUCGUUCACUUAUUCAGGGGAGAUCAUUGAACCCCUACGGAGUACCGGGUACUGGGCCGGGCGCUGAGGACGCGGGGCUGAGCAAAAGCAGCCGAGGCCCACCUUCGUGCCCCUUAAAACCCAGCGUGCGGGGCGGCAACGAGUACUGCUUUUCUGUUUUGCACUUAAAAUUUACAUUUUGCAUCCGUACUUUUUAUUUACUGUGCACCCUUACGGCAUGCUUUACGCACCCGUACCUGCACCUCCUAGCCUUGAGUGUAGACACCAGAUCCUGAGAUGGGCGAUUUUUCGAGAAUAAUUUUUACCCUAAGUGGAUUUUCGUGCCACGCAUGGACUUGGAACUACACACACGUAGUCCAAAACGUGAAAGUCAAAAUGCAGCUUUGCCAAGUGGCAGGGAGAAAGGAGAGCUGAGAAGAUGAGGAGAGGAAGGGCGCGCUCCAGGCUUUCCAGCCCGGGUGCGGUAGACGUAGCCCUGAAGGAUGAACCCAGGCUGGUAGUAGGGCGGCGGGAGGGCGGGGGGACCUGUCAGUCAAGUCCAAAGCAGAAACGCGGCGCCGGAUCCCAGUCAGAGGCCGGCUGGAACGCUUCCCACAGGCUCCUGGCGCUCCGGUCCCCACCAGGCGACCUUGAUCCUGGCGUGCUCAGCGGAGCCAGCGCAGCGUCGGGAGCUGGAGAGACGCGGGGCGCCGGCUGAGCGCUCCUGCCCUCUGCCUCUGGGCUAGCCUCUGGCCCGGCCUCCCGGCCUCCCCCAGGGUACGCUCUCCCCCAAGAGCGAACACCAGCUUUGGGAUCGCCAGCAGCCACGUCUCUGCUUCUAGAUCUCUUUUUUUUUUCUUUGAGACUUAGUUGAUAGCUGUUUAAGGAAUUAUGUGGAGGAAAUCUCACCUCCGACCCCCGCCCCCGUUGAGCACGGCCGGCCAGGGUCGCUGGGUGGGCCAGGAGGAAAGAAAGGGGCGGGGAAGAAGCAGCAAUUUUACUUUAAAUUAAAAUGACACAAAAAUAUUUUUUCAACUCAGAUCUUUCUGAGACAUCCCCAGAAAGCGUUGCAAGCUGUGAUUACACCUAAUGUGAGAGCAUGAACUAAUUUAAGAGGUGAGAGCUGCAUAAUGAGGCUGCCUCCCGUGUAGCAGCCAAGACUGGCAGCUCUGGCGGCGCGCUGGAGGGGACCGGGAGGGGCACCCUUGUAGAACCAGUCCCUGGCGCCCUGGGAUCUUCUCAGUGCCCUGGCGCUGUGUUGUCGGUCACUCCACAGAUAUUACAGGGUGCCUCCUGAAUGCCGGGUUGCAAUCAAGAGCAAGAGAUGGGGCGAGUGAAAGAGCCUGUUUUCAGGAGCUCAGCAUCAGGAUGACGAUUACCUAGAGGGAGGUGGUGGCCAGCCUCCCCCUCUUCUCUUCAUGCUGAGGCUCUGGUGGGCAGUGCCCAAGCCUGAACUGCCAUCUGUAUGCCAGUGGUUACCCAACUUGUAUUUUCAGUCUUAGCCUCUCUCUGGUCCAGACUUGUCAUUCUAAGGGCCCUUUUUCACUGACUCACAUUGUCUCCUCCCUCCCUGCCUUCCAAACUCAGCCUUUUCCUUUUUCCCUUUCCCACUGACAACAGCUGCACGACCCCCCCGCCCCCCCACGAGGUGAAAAUUCCCAAGAACCCCAUGUCUAACCUAACUCCCUCUCUAUGUCCUGUUGCUUGAGCCAUUCUCAUUAGGCUGCCUGUUCGGAGUUCAUUAUCUCCUAAUUUUUCAUCCAGGAAUUGAUGAAGAAUCACCUACUGCCUCUCCCACACACUGUUUAUUCUUUCAUUUGAUGAUAUCUGUUAAGUGCCCUGAGAUAUGUAACCUCCACUUCCCUCCCAUAUAAGUGAGAUUUCACGUUGAUUACUUCCUUGGCUUUCCUCAUCCCUUAUCCACAUAGCAUGUGUUCAAAAUAAUGAAUAUUAAUUUAAUGUUAAUAGAUAUGUGCUUUCCUGAAUUGUGAGGAUUAAAUGAAAUCAUGUAUAUAGGGAGGAAAAUCCAUUAGAAACCUCAAAAGCAGUUAUGUUUAUUUUUGCUAUUGUCACAUUGUUAGAGUCAGAAUUCUUUUAGCUGCAAGUGACAAAACCAACUCAAACUGGCUUAAGGACUUUAUUGGUUGAUGCAAAAAGCCUCGGGUUAGGUCUUGCCAUUUAAGGUAGGGCUGGAUCCAUCAAUCCGGGUUACCAGGAUCUGUUUUCUAGUUGUGGCUUCAUUUUCAGACAAGUUGUUUCCAUAUGAUAGCCUCAUAGAAGGUACUACCAGCUUAGUCCUAGCAAGAAAAAAGAGUACUUACUCUUCAAUAUUUGCAGCAGAAGUCCCAGGUCUGUUCUUAUGAGGGCAGUUUGAGUCACUUGCUCUUCUCUGAACGUGGAGAAGGCACUGUUUAGAUGAUGGAGGUUGGAUUCAGGUGCAUCCCCUGGAAUGGGGUUUGGCAUUAGCUUCACGUGGUCUAGAAUAAAGGGGUUCUCCAAAGGAAAAUUAGGGUAGGAAUGCUGAGUAAGCAGAACAAACAGAUGUCUACUUUAGUCCUUCCCAAAGGGUGAGCUGCAAUACAUUGCAGACUAUCAGAAUGGUGAUGAACACGGAUGCAGUAGCCAAGAAAAUAGAUGUGUGUUUGUCGUGGUCUUUUUCAGUCUUCAAGAUCUCAGUUAAACAUGAAGUCAACCACUCACUAUGAUGUUAUUUGAGGUUUAGCUUUGAAGUGGAAAUGUACCACAAAUAGUAGAGCCAGAUAAAUACAAAUAAAUAAUUUUAACAGUCCAUUCUAAAAGAUUUCUUUGGUAAUAUUCUGUUGGAAUUGAUUUCUAUCUUUUCAUUUGUUAGGUUCCUGGAAAGUGAAAAUUUCAUUUCUUUGUGGACAGCUCAGAGACCUAAUAGGAUGGGGUCUUAGAGAAACAUCUUUUGAGCCACAGACUUCUUUGUUACCAGAAGGAAAAUGAAAGAAGAAAUUUAAAUACCACUUGAAGAGAGCUGAUCGCCACCAACUGGCCUCUGGGUGGAUUUGGCCAAUGGAAGCACCUGUAGAGGGAAGAGAGUGAGGUUAGGAUAUUUCUUCCUGCUGUCUCCGUGCUUCCCUGCAGAGAGUGUGAAGAAAUGACCCUGAAAAGCCUCUGGCAGAGGAUUCUUCUUUCAGGAUGGUGUCGCCUCCUCAGCAGCCCAUCCUCCUCCCCUGGACUCAAGCUCUCAUUCCAGUAACACUCCUUCCUCCUUCUCCAUCUUCAGGGGGAGGUUUGCCAGUCGGUGGGUUCUAAGCAUAUCUCGCUGAUUCCCCCCAACCCUGCCGACACCUCUGUAGGUCGUCCCUUCAUUAAAAUCUCUCCAUUUGAACUAUCUGAGUUUAAUUCCAUUUCCUCCUGGUAUCUCAGUGAUACACGGUAUCAGUACAAAAAUCUCGCUUCACCUUCAGAACCAACAGAUUUGAGACAUUUUAUCCUCUGUGGAACCAUUAGUUAUUUUGUCAUUGGUUGUAUCAGAAAAAAAAAUCAGGAAUGCAAAUCCUUCUUUAUUACAGAUUCAGAUUUGCAUAUUACCAAUGUUAUAUAUUUUAAACAAAACUAUUCAUCAUAAGUUUUAAAAAUUAACUACUGGAGUAGUUAAUGAAUCUGAAUGUAAUUAUGUAGCUUUCAUAAUAUUAAAGUAAAAAUACUAAAAGAAGUAUUUCUUAAAGAAGCAAAUGCUCAAUCUCCAAGUAAAUUUUAUUCUAUGCUCUUCCGGUAUAAGAAUAUGUUAAUAUCUUGAAAAAUAUCAUAUUAUUUUGUGAACUCAUAAAGCUAUUUUGAGUUUUUGUAAAAUGAAAACCUUACCAAAAUGUAUUUUAUUGUUGGAAAGCUUGACCGUUACUGCUGUUUAAUUUUUUGAGCUUGUAAACUUUAUUUGUGCAUGUUUUCAACAAAGAAGGAUUUUAUUGUUAUUACAUAAAACAGGUGAUUUCUAGAUUUUAAAAUCACAAAUUGAAAGCAAGGCACAAUAAUAUAUAUUUCAAGAUAUAGGUACUUAGGAGGCAUCCUUUUAGUCAUCUGUUCAAUGUAGCCAUCUAUUUUACACCUACUGUCUACUAUUGUUUGAGGUCCUUGCCAAAGUAUUGCAGGCUAGUUAGGAAACAUAAAACAAUUAGAAAGUAAUCUAUGACAAGUAAGCUAUCUAUAAAUGGCAAUGAAGGGUAGAACAAAUUCAAUGAAAAUAUCUAUUUAAUCCUAGUGUUUACUGGUCUAGAAGAAUAGGCUGAGUAAAUUAGUAUUUCUCUGGCUGUUGUGGUAACACAUUGCAUGCUAUAACAGUUUUAAGUAAUUACAGGUGCAUUGAAAUUUAUCUAUGGCUUUGUCAUCAUAUUCUAAAAUGUCAUGAGUACUUUUUUCUGACCUCAAUUACUAUGAAAUUGGUUUCCAAUAUUUAAUUAACCAAGAAUAUCAAGUCUAUAGGGUAUUAUUAAGGUGAGACUUCUGUAGCCUUUUCAAUAAAGACCAGAAUUUUGGAGUGCCUUGAACCUUAAUCAUUGAUCUUUAAUUCUUAUUAAGUCAACUGCCCACCUUUUAAAGACUGAGGCCCAGGAAGAGUAAGUUUCUCUGAGACAAUGCAUACAGUACAGUGCUUCUUGGGUAUUGGCUCUAAGACCAGAUGCAAAGAAAGGCUAAAAUCCCAUUUCAUUGUUCAUUAGGUGAGAACCCUUUGUUAAGCUGUGUAACCUCUGUGCAUAGUUUCCUCAUCAGCAAAGUCAGAAAAAGUAUGUACCUGAAGGACUGAUUGUAAGGCUGGGAUGAGAGAAUCCAUGUGAUCAGCCCUCACCAACAGGUGCUGCCCAGUUCAUGAGUGCUGCUGCUGUCCUGCCCAAGUACCCAGCUUGCAGAGUGCCAGAGUUAGAGUCCCAGGGGUGUUCUCCACAGCUGCAUGCUUGAUCCAGGCCUAUCAGGUGAGUUGGCUCUUGGCUAGUGGUUUUUCUUCUCUUGCUGUACAAAAGUCCAGACAGUAAUGUCUUUUUUUCAUUUUUAUAGAUAUAUUCCAUUGAAAGUCCUCAUUCUCAAAUUUAAAACAAAGACUUUUUGUGUACCUCAAUAGCAAUGCACACACAGUUGGCUUCACAAACAUAUUGUACAUUUCUUUUUUUCAUAUUUAUUCAACAAAUGUAUAUUGACUACCCACCGUGUGACAGGUGUUAUUUGUUGACGGAACCAGGCAUCAUCAGCAAACAAAACUGACAAAGCUUCCUGCCCUCUGUGGAAGGCAUCUGAGGAAGAGACUGGAUUUUGUAGCAACAUGUUAUUCUCAUUAUAAACUUUAUCAUUGGAAUACUAAAGCCAAAUCAUCCCCCAUCUCCUUGAUCAGGAUACCCACUUAAUCUAGGCAGCUACACAAUUGUGAGAGCCUUUGUUUUUUUCUGCUGAAACAUCCUUAAAAAGAUACCUCACAACCCAAGAUUUGGCUUUUCUUAAAUACGAUUUUUAAUUUUUUUCAUUUCUAUCUAGAGAUUUAAUUGGAAAUGGAAAAUCAUCAAUUUUCCAAUUAAAUGUCUGUUCCAAUCAACAUUAUACCUUUUAGGUUGUCAUUGUCAUUUUUAAGUUUAAGCAACUUUAAGGAUUUUGAAUCUGGCUGCCUGUAAAUUAAAGGUGAAAGUAAUCA
Molecule: long non-coding RNA, 5783 nt
Filed under: Homo sapiens (human)
Lineage: Eukaryota; Metazoa; Chordata; Mammalia; Primates; Hominidae
Description: HSALNT0385798
Source: RNAcentral